Molecule: ribosomal RNA, 402 nt
Filed under: uncultured bacterium
Lineage: Bacteria
Description: bacterial SSU rRNA
Rfam family: Bacterial small subunit ribosomal RNA
Source: RNAcentral
CGGCGUGGUUAAGACAUGCAAGUCGCACGGAGGUAGCAAUACCUUAGUGGCGAACGGGUGAGUAAUGUAUCGCUAACGUACCCUUUAGUCUGGGAUAGCCGGGGGAAACCCCGGGUAAUACCAGUUGACAUUCCCUUUUCGCAUGGAGAGGGACUCAAAGGAGCAAUCCGCUGAAGGAGCGGGCGAUAUCGUAUCAGCUAGUUGGUGAGGUAACGGCUCACCAAGGCGACGACGCGUAGCCGGACUGAGAGGUCGGUCGGCCGCAUUGGGACUGAGACACUGCCCAGACUCCUACGGGGGGCUGCAGUAACGAAUCAACGGCAAUGCACGCAAGUGUGACGGAGCGACGCCGCGUGUAGGCGAAGUCCUUCGGGAUGUAAACCACUGUCAGGGGUACCAAGU